This 63-nucleotide transfer RNA is filed under the name Perna viridis (Asian green mussel). RNAcentral's name for it is "tRNA-Asn". It matches the Rfam family "tRNA". From Rfam's summary of the family: Transfer RNA (tRNA) molecules are approximately 80 nucleotides in length. Their secondary structure includes four short double-helical elements and three loops (D, anti-codon, and T loops). Lineage: Eukaryota; Metazoa; Mollusca; Bivalvia; Mytilida; Mytilidae. The record is from RNAcentral.
UGCUUUAUAGUUUAAUUGAAAACAUUAGAUUGUUAAUCUAAAAUUGUCUAAAGACUAGAGCAG